CCUACGGGAGGCAGCAGUAGGGAAUCUUCCACAAUGGGCGAAAGCCUGAUGGAGCAACGCCGCGUGGGUGAAGAAGGUCUUCGGAUCGUAAAACCCUGUUGUUAGAGAAGAACGUGCGUGAGAGUAACUGUUCACGUUUCGACGGUAUCUAACCAGAAAGCCACGGCUAACUACGUGCCAGCAGCCGCGGUAAUACGUAGGUGGCAAGCGUUAUCCGGAUUUAUUGGGCGUAAAGGGAACGCAGGCGGUCUUUUAAGUCUGAUGUGAAAGCCUUCGGCUUAACCGGAGUAGUGCAUUGGAAACUGGGAGACUGGAGUGCAUAAGAGGAGAGUGGAACUCCAGGUGUAGCGGUGAAAUGCGUAGAUAUAUGGAAGAACACCAGUGGCGAAAGCGGCUCUCUGGUCUGUAACUGACGCUGAGGUUCGAAAGCGUGGGUAGCAAACAGGAUUAGAUACCCGUGUAGUC
RNAcentral lists this ribosomal RNA (465 nucleotides) under uncultured bacterium. Its description in RNAcentral is "partial 16S ribosomal RNA". It matches the Rfam family "Bacterial small subunit ribosomal RNA", at positions 338 to 795 of the family's 1533-position model. The record is from RNAcentral.